UUAGGGAUGCCAGAUAAUAUAUGGGUGUGAUUUAGGGUCAUAAUAUGAUAGUGUGUAUCUCCCUGGC
RNAcentral lists this transfer RNA (67 nucleotides) under Morishitium polonicum. RNAcentral's name for it is "tRNA-Leu". The record is from RNAcentral. Lineage: Eukaryota; Metazoa; Platyhelminthes; Trematoda; Plagiorchiida; Cyclocoelidae.